AAGUCGUAACAAGGUUUCCGUAGGUGAACCUGCGGAAGGAUCAUUAAAAAUCCAAACCUGCGUCUUUAUGGCGCACUUACUCUUGUGAACUGUUAUCUCUAGUCAAUUCUCGGUUUUGUGGGUUGAGAGCUUGAGUCUCUUCGUGAGAUUCGCUUUCCCUGCAUGCCGGGAGUAGGCGAUCCCUGCAUUGGGCUCCGGCUCUUUACAGGUUAUAAACCUUUAUAUUUUAUUUGAUUAAUUUUAGUUUGCGGCCGAAAGGCGGAACUUAACUUUAAUACAACUUUCAACAACGGAUCUCUUGGCUCUC
Molecule: unclassified non-coding RNA, 307 nt
Filed under: fungal sp.
Lineage: Eukaryota; Fungi
Description: partial internal transcribed spacer region
Rfam family: Eukaryotic small subunit ribosomal RNA (bases 1-46)
Source: RNAcentral